RNAcentral lists this unclassified non-coding RNA (224 nucleotides) under plant metagenome. Its description in RNAcentral is "partial contains small subunit ribosomal RNA and internal transcribed spacer 1". The stretch from base 1 to 47 matches the Rfam family "Eukaryotic small subunit ribosomal RNA", at positions 1786 to 1831 of the family's 1831-position model. The record is from RNAcentral.
AAGUCGUAACAAGGUUUCCGUAGGUGAAUCCUGCGGGAGGAUCAUUAAUGAAGUCUGGGCUUCGGCCCUCUCAUCUUCUACACACUUGUGAACUUACACCGUUGCUUUGGCAGGUCUCCGGACGGGCGUCAGCCUCGAAGGUCAGGUCGAAAGGCGCCUGCCAUUGACACUUAUCCACCCUUUUUUAAUAGUCUGAUUAUUGUUUUAAACAAAUUAAAAUAAAA